AUGCAACUUUCCCAUCCCCAGGAUCACAGCUUAAGACUUGGGGCUAGAGAGAUACCCACCCCUGGGCUCAAGCUAAGGAACACAGAGACCUCAGGAGGACACUGCCCCGGGGCCAGUCCAGCUGAAACACCAAGAAGCAGCUUGGAGCCUGGCCAUUCGGGGUAUGAAAAACAUCAGGGGACCAAAGGCAAGGGGAGGAGUCCCAGUGGGUCCAGGACCCGGUUCCAGUUCAGGUUCACUGGAAACAACACAGUGAGCCUGCUUUGUGCUUUAAGUUCCCCAGAAGUGACUCUACAGAAUCAGAAAAUUACUUCUUCCAUCAGGCUCUUGAGUCCAGGCCUCUCACAGACUGCUCAGCUAAGCACCUAGCAGAAGAGAUUAGCCCCACAGGACCUGCCUUGGCUCCCCAGAGUCUUCUUGGAGUCUCUGGCCAGUACGAAGCCUGAAGGCAGCCACCUUCCGCUUGCUUUGGGGUUCUGAGCCUCUUUGACCUUCUCUUUCUCGUUUAUCUCACAUCCCCUUACUUAGCUACCAUUUACUGACUGUGUGCCAUGCAGCAGCCCUAUGCCAGCCCCCUGGCAAACAUGAGAUCAUUUAUUCUUAGCAGUAAUCCUUGUUAUGUUUGUGAUUAAAGUGCGACUCAUAAAAGUUGAGAAACAUGACCAACGUUACACAACUAGUAAGUGCUGAGGCCAUGCGUUCAUUCAACAAGUGUUAUUGGGCGCCCACCUUGUGCCAGGGUUCAAAGCUCCAUCCGAAGGCAUCGGUCUAAACCGCAGGCCUCUGAGACCAUUCCUGACCCGCUUUCUCGAUGUGGUGUCUGAAGCCACAAGCCCUUUCCUAACCUGGACUUCUCACACCCUCUCCACAAGGCCGAUCAGAAGGUGUUCGUCCUUGGCCUGGGUGCACUCUCCGAGGGACAGCCACUUCCUUGGGCUGUGGGGAUGUGCAUUCCUGUUUCUGAACCUGGGAUCAGAUGCCAAUGCUCAGGGUUUGGACUUGCACGUAAAUAGGGGAGGUAGAGCUCCAAUUCCAAAUAAAGGGUUUCAUGGAGCCA
Molecule: long non-coding RNA, 1057 nt
Filed under: Sus scrofa (pig)
Lineage: Eukaryota; Metazoa; Chordata; Mammalia; Artiodactyla; Suidae
Description: lncRNA (ENSSSCG00015040744.1)
Source: RNAcentral